GCCUGGGUGGCUCAGUGGUUGAGCAUCUGCCUCUGAUUCAGGGCGGGAUCCCAGGAUCAAGUCCUGCAUCAGGCU
RNAcentral lists this transfer RNA (75 nucleotides) under Canis lupus familiaris (dog). It matches the Rfam family "tRNA". Rfam says of the family: Transfer RNA (tRNA) molecules are approximately 80 nucleotides in length. Their secondary structure includes four short double-helical elements and three loops (D, anti-codon, and T loops). Lineage: Eukaryota; Metazoa; Chordata; Mammalia; Carnivora; Canidae. The record is from Rfam by way of RNAcentral. RNAcentral also lists the same sequence under 1 other name.